This 484-nucleotide ribosomal RNA is filed under the name uncultured bacterium. Its description in RNAcentral is "partial 16S ribosomal RNA". It matches the Rfam family "Bacterial small subunit ribosomal RNA", at positions 30 to 507 of the family's 1533-position model. The record is from RNAcentral.
AUUGAACGCUGGCGGCAGGCCUAACACAUGCAAGUCGAGCGGAUGAAGGGAGCUUGCUCCUGGAUUCAGCGGCGGACGGGUGAGUAAUGCCUAGGAAUCUGCCUGGUAGUGGGGGAUAACGUCCGGAAACGGGCGCUAAUACCGCAUACGUCCUGAGGGAGAAAGUGGGGGAUCUUCGGACCUCACGCUAUCAGAUGAGCCUAGGUCGGAUUAGCUAGUUGGUGGGGUAAAGGCCUACUAAGGCGACGAUCCGUAACUGGUCUGAGAGGAUGAUCAGUCACACUGGAACUGAGACACGGUCCAGACUCCUACGGGAGGCAGCAGUGGGGAAUAUUGGACAAUGGGCGAAAGCCUGAUCCAGCCAGGCCGCGUGUGUGAAGAAGGUCUUCGGAUUGUAAAGCACUUUAAGUUGGGAGGAAGGGCAGUAAGUUAAUACCUAGCUGUUUUGACGGUACCAACAGAAUAAGCACCGGCUAACUUCGUG